CCUACGGGUGGCAGCAGUGGGGGAUAUUGCACAAUGGGGGGAACCCUGAUGCAGCGACGCCGCGUGAAGGAAGAAGUAUCUCGGUAUGUAAACUUCUAUCAGCAGGGAAGAAAAUGACGGUACCUGACUAAGAAGCCCCGGCUAACUACGUGCCAGCAGCCGCGGUAAUACGUAGGGGGCAAGCGUUAUCCGGAUUUACUGGGUGUAAAGGGAGCGUAGGCGGCAGUGCAAGUCAGAAGUGAAAGCCCGGGGCUCAACUCCGGGACUGCUUUUGAAACUGUACAGCUUGAUUGUCGGAGAGGUAAUCGGAAUUCCUUGUGUAGCGGUGAAAUGCGUAGAUAUAAGGAAGAACACCAGUGGCGAAGGCGGAUUACUGGACGAUAACUGACGGUGAGGCGCGAAAGCGUGGGGAGCAAACAGGAUUAGAUACCCUUGUAGUC
RNAcentral lists this ribosomal RNA (440 nucleotides) under uncultured bacterium. RNAcentral's name for it is "partial 16S ribosomal RNA". It matches the Rfam family "Bacterial small subunit ribosomal RNA", at positions 338 to 795 of the family's 1533-position model. The record is from RNAcentral.